RNAcentral lists this ribosomal RNA (460 nucleotides) under uncultured bacterium. RNAcentral's name for it is "partial 16S ribosomal RNA". It matches the Rfam family "Bacterial small subunit ribosomal RNA", at positions 338 to 795 of the family's 1533-position model. The record is from RNAcentral.
CCUACGGGGAGCAGCAGUUAGGAAUAUUGGUCAAUGGCCGUAAGGCUGAACCAGCCAAGUCGCGUGAAGGAAGAAGGAUCUAUGGUUUGUAAACUUCUUUUAUAGGGGGAUAAAGGUAUCCACGUGUGGAUAUUUGCAUGUACCCUAUGAAUAAGCAUCGGCUAACUCCGUGCCAGCAGCCGCGGUAAUACGGAGGCUGCGAGCGUUAUCCGGAUUUAUUGGGUUUAAAGGGUGCGUAGGUUGUUUUUUAAGUCAGCGGGGAAAGUUUGUGGCUCAACCAUAAAAUUGCCGUUGAAACUGGAAGACUUGAGUGUGUUUGAGGUAGGCGGAAUGCGUGGUGUAGCGGUGAAAUGCACAGAUAUCACGCAGAAUUCCGAUUGCGAAGGCAGCUUACUAAGCCAUAACUGACACUGAAGCACGAAAGCGUGGGGAUCAAACAGGAUUAGAUACCCUGGUAGUC